RNAcentral lists this ribosomal RNA (392 nucleotides) under uncultured Marinomonas sp. RNAcentral describes it as "bacterial SSU rRNA". It matches the Rfam family "Bacterial small subunit ribosomal RNA", at positions 39 to 424 of the family's 1533-position model. Lineage: Bacteria; Pseudomonadati; Pseudomonadota; Gammaproteobacteria; Oceanospirillales; Oceanospirillaceae. The record is from RNAcentral.
CGCGGGAGGCUUAACACAUGCAAGUCGAGCGGUAACAGGAAUUAGCUUGCUAAUUUGCUGACGAGCGGCGGACGGGUGAGUAACGCGUAGGAAUCUGCCUGGUAGUGGGGGACAACAUGUGGAAACGCAUGCUAAUACCGCAUACGCCCUACGGGGGAAAGGAGGGGAUCUUCGGACCUUUCGCUAUCAGAUGAGCCUGCGUGAGAUUAGCUAGUUGAUGGGGUAAAGGCUCACCAAGGCGACGAUCUCUAGCUGGUCUGAGAGGAUGAUCAGCCACACUGGGACUGAGACACGGCCCAGACUCCUACGGGAGGCAGCAGUGGGGAAUAUUGGACAAUGGGCGCAAGCCUGAUCCAGCCAUGCCGCGUGUGUGAAAGAAGGCCUUUCGGGGU